Hypanus sabinus (Atlantic stingray) is the source of this 761-nucleotide long non-coding RNA. RefSeq lists it as uncharacterized. The transcript is spliced from 3 exons. The record is from RefSeq and is a predicted model, not a curated record. Lineage: Eukaryota; Metazoa; Chordata; Chondrichthyes; Myliobatiformes; Dasyatidae.
CAGCUGCACUCAAACUAUGUUCUUCACGGGCCGUGGAUUAUCAAUCUCAGAGCUCGCUGAACAACUUCGUGCUUUGGUAUCUCCAGGAACAGCCUGGAAGAUGUGCCCCCUCAGGGUGAAGCCCUGUGGAUGACCCGAAUCCUCAGCGAUGUCGCCGGCAGAAGCGUCACAGGUGAUUGACACACGAAGACAGCAGCUGCAACCUUUGGAGUCCUUUGUGCAGAACUGAUCUCUUUCUCCAUGGUUUCCAGAUUCUCCACAUUGACUGUACUACGAAUACCUUUAUGGACUGGCUAAAAUGUAGCAGGCUAUUAUAAUGAAAUUCGUUACAUUGUGCAAUUCAAGGUCAUUCGGAAUACAGUAUAAGAUAAAGAAUAGACAUACGUGAGUUUGUUCUAAGGAACUAACAAGCCUAAAGCUUCGCAUUUCUUAUUAAAAUAUUUGAAAAUUGAUGAGAAAGAAUAACAAGGGGUUCAAUAAACAAUUCGUUCGGAAACAGAAGAUCAACCGCUGGAAGAUCUUAGCGAGUCAAACAGCAUCUGUGAAGUCAAAACGCUGGUCAAUGUUUCGGGUCGAAACUCCGCAUUGUGUCAUCUUCUCGUUGAUUCUGGCACCGCCGGCCUCCCGAUCUCCAGUUCACUCGACAAGGCCGAUCCAACUCCUUCCUUGAGAACUAACCAGAAAAUUGUACAGUUCGUCCCGCCGAGUUCCUCCAGCAGAUUGUUUGUUGCUCCAGGUUCCAGCACCCACAACGUCCACGU